Long non-coding RNA from Phyllostomus discolor (pale spear-nosed bat), 114 nucleotides. RefSeq lists it as uncharacterized. The record is from RefSeq and is a predicted model, not a curated record. The transcript is spliced from 3 exons. NCBI's taxonomy places the organism in Eukaryota, Metazoa, Chordata, Mammalia, Chiroptera, Phyllostomidae.
CCUUUUCACUUAAAGGAAGCACUUUAUGGCUUCUCUUUGGCAUAUCCUAAUUGCCAGCAUCACUACCCUUGUACUUUGGGGCCAUUGUUAAGCAGAAAUAAGGGUGACUUGAAC